This 155-nucleotide ribosomal RNA is filed under the name Origanum majorana. RNAcentral's name for it is "5.8S ribosomal RNA". It matches the Rfam family "5.8S ribosomal RNA". From Rfam's summary of the family: 5.8S ribosomal RNA (5.8S rRNA) is a component of the large subunit of the eukaryotic ribosome. RNAcentral also lists the same sequence under 1 other name. Lineage: Eukaryota; Viridiplantae; Streptophyta; Magnoliopsida; Lamiales; Lamiaceae. The record is from RNAcentral.
CUCGGCAACGGAUAUCUCGGCUCUCGCAUCGAUGAAGAACGUAGCGAAAUGCGGUACUUGGUGUGAAUUGCAGAAUCCCGUGAACCAUCGAGUCUUUGAACGCAAGUUGCGCCCGAAGCCAUUAGGCUGAGGGCACGUCUGCCUGGGCGUCACGC